AGGAAGAUGAGGAUUACCCAAUAGAGAUUGACAUUGACGACCUUUUGCGGCGUAGCGACUCUGAGAGACAGAAAGAAGUAGAGUCACUCCUUAAAGAUGCUUCACAACCUUCAGAGGAAUUCAUCUCAAUAUUACUCACAAGAAUCCUUGAGCUACAGAAGAAAUCCAAUACCCUGAGCUCACCUGGUCAAGCCCAAAGUAUAGAUUUCCAAUUAUGAGAGGGGACACUUGGUGAACAUAUUAAUCACACGGACACUCAAAGUCAUCCUCACUUUUGUAAAUAUGUACAAACCGAAAGGACAACGAAGAUAUGAAGGAAUGGAGAUUUAUAUAUUCACUUCCUUGAACCGGUCUUUCUGGCUUCUUUCAUGAACGAAACCUCAUCAGGAUUUUUAUUCACUUCCUCAUUCUCCACGAUCAUCCCAGCGUGAGAACUUUUAGCAGGCAAAAAAUCAGGAUAUUGGUUUCUAUUUGAUUACAUCUAUCCUUUUUUAUGUAUGAAUAGCAUGUAUUGAUUGUCAAUUGAAUUUUGAAUCUUGUACUUCUGAUUAAUGUUGAUUUUAGCCUUAUUUAAAGUAUAUUGAUGGCAAAAACAUAUUCUCGCAUCUGGUAUUAAAAAGAUAUAUAUAUAUGAAUCUCACUGACUUGAUUUAAAUGUAGGGCAUACCCAAACUCAAUGGGUGAUUUAAGUUCGGUGUGCGGUGUUUGUGUUGGUUUUAAGAGCGUGAAAAGGCUGCUGAACCAAGCUCCAACACCGAGCUGGGUUCAGAGUAACAAUACCGAUCGCAUUGUCGAUAAUUAUGACAUCACGCCUCUGCGCUGCUGAUCAUCUCAACUUUACGCGAGAACUUCUCAAAGACAAAAGUGAAAUCGGAGAGAAAUUACACUAAAAUCUCAUUGACAGAAUGCCAAGGCUAAAAUAACUUCAAGACUCAGAAGGAGUAAAUAUUAUUUUCCAUUAAAAUUGAUUAGGCUCUAAUGAUUUGCACUCAUCUUUUCUGUAAAUAUCUAAUUUUACGGGGAUGUUUCAUCCUGUUUGCCACCUGUUCAUGGGCUUCAAAUCAUUAACACCAACACCGAACUUGAAAUCACGAUUUUCCCAAUCCCUGGCUGUUGUUGGUGUUGUCACAACACCAACACCAGAUUUCAACACCGUACUUGAAAUCACCCAAUCUUUAUGUUAGCAUGUACUCUUGCUUACUUUUAUGUUCAAAUUGCAGAUCUGGGGCCCAUUUCAUAUAACUUGUAUAAGCUACUGAAAAAUUUCACCUGAUUGGCUGAUCAUACAUUUGUUAUAGAAAUAGUCUUUAUGAAAUGGGACCCAAAGGACAUUCAACUGUUGUAACUUUGCCAUAAUAGUAACUAAUAACUCAAACAAAGAUUCUUGCCAUCUGAUUCAUGGUUGAAAGGUUGUCAAUAUUUUGUCCAUUCAUUACUGCAUGCAUUUUUAAAUUUUCCAUUGCACGGUGACCGUGCAUUUUUUAGGUUUAGCGCUCCCUCAGUAUGCACCACUAAUCAUGUGUAUGUCUACUUCCCUUUUUACGUUUGUUUGUGUAUGUGUUUGUGCGCAUGAAGUUAGCGCAGAUCAAACUAGACUUACUGUGCGCACUCGACUCAGAUCCAUGAAUCAAUGCGCGUCACAAAAGAACCGAGGGCUGAUGAGCUGUCGAUACAUGGGGGAAUCCGCCGUAGGCCGACUAGUAAUUCAGAGAAAAAGAGUUGCUGGAAAUAGGCCUACCUAAUCUUAAUUUCAUCUAUUUUGUUUACUUUUUUAUAUUAAAAAAAAUGAUUUUAUCUAAUUUGAGUUAUGUAAAAAAAAUAAUGAAUGUAUAUAUUGGUGCAAUGGAAAGAAUAUUUACAUUCAAUGAAAGAUCAAAAUGUUCCAUUCAACUUGGCUAACACCUCGUUGGAUGGAACUUUUCAUCUUCGAUCUCAUGAAAAUAUUCUCCCCCAUUGCACGCAUACACAUUCAUUAGUUGUAUACCACAUGGUAACAGGGUUCAACAGCCAAUCACAAUCAAGGAUUCCAUGGUAGUCACAAUAAUGGCAAAGUUACAAUAGUUACAUGUCUUCAUGAAACAAGCACCAGGACCUUGUAACACAAAAUAUUUUCAAUCAAUCACAAAAAUGCAGAUCAUUAUAGCAUGCACUGUUUUAUUCAAAAGACUCACUAGUAUCCAAUCAUAUUUUUAUCAGAUUGAUCACAACCUUCGUGUUAACUGUCAUUCAUAACAUGUUCAAGAAUCAAGUGCAAGUCCGUAAUACAUGCAUUUCAUUGGUUGAAAAUCAAGUUGCACUUGAUUUUUGCAGUUGCCUUUGAUCUCAACUCUUUUUUGCAACAAGCCCAACAUCUUUAUCGUCUGUGGCAGCACGAAAAUCUAUUUUUAAAUCCAAAGACGAGUGAAAUGAAAAUGAUUUUGAGUUUUCAUUGACCUUUAUCGAUAUCCGAUACUUAUGCUCUACAUGUACUACCAUUCUUAUUGAUGCAUGUCCUACAUUAUGUAUAUAUUUGUAUACAUGUACAAUAUUUCAAUCUACUAUUUGACACUAUGCUCUGUUUAUGAUAUACUGUAGAUCUAAUUUAUUCAGAGUAAGAAACUUUUUUCCAUGAAUAAUUUAUCUUACGACUUAACAAGUGUUUGUAACUAUCUAGAUUUUUCUGAGUAAUGUUUUGUCACACAAAUGUUGCUAGGUCAAAUGUAUUUUGAAGUAUACUUCUGGAAUAGACUGGACAUCCUAGUUUCAUUUUGAUACAAUCUUUCAAGAAUCGAAUUAUUUUUGAUAUAUCUUUUUCAAUAAUUAAUGUAAACAUGAUGCCGUGUCUCAAAUGAAGCAUCAAUUUUGUAGAAGAAUAGUGAAUAAUGGGAAUUUUAGAUCCCUACAGAGGCAAAAUUUUUGUUAUUAAUAUACUAUUAAAAUACUUUUGUUGAAUACUGAACAAAAAAUAUUUAAU
Long non-coding RNA from Lytechinus pictus (painted urchin), 2953 nucleotides. RefSeq lists it as uncharacterized. The record is from RefSeq and is a predicted model, not a curated record. The transcript is spliced from 2 exons. NCBI's taxonomy places the organism in Eukaryota, Metazoa, Echinodermata, Echinoidea, Temnopleuroida, Toxopneustidae.